AAAAUAGUAGUAUAAUGUUAUUACUUCUGCCUUCCAAGUAGAGAAUCUAGUAAUUAGCUAUUUUA
This 65-nucleotide transfer RNA is filed under the name Xenostrobus securis. Its description in RNAcentral is "tRNA-Gly". Lineage: Eukaryota; Metazoa; Mollusca; Bivalvia; Mytilida; Modiolidae. The record is from RNAcentral.